Molecule: ribosomal RNA, 428 nt
Filed under: uncultured prokaryote
Description: bacterial SSU rRNA
Rfam family: Bacterial small subunit ribosomal RNA
Source: RNAcentral
UGAGGAAUCUUGCGCAAUGGGGGCAACCCUGACGCAGCAACGCCGCGUGAGUGAGGAAGGCCUUCGGGUCGUAAAGCUCUGUCGGAUGGAAAGAAACGGAUGCGGGUUAAUAGCCUUCAUCCCUGACGGUACCAUCAGAGGAAGCACCGGCUAACUCCGUGCCAGCAGCCGCGGUAAUACGGGGGGUGCAAGCGUUGUUCGGAAUCAUUGGGCGUAAAGCGCGUGUAGGCGGCUUGGUAAGUCAGGUGUGAAAGCCCUGGGCGCAACCCAGGAAUGGCACUUGAAACUGCCUUGCUUGAGUACGGGAGAGGAAAGCGGAAUUCCUGGUGUAGAGGUGAAAUGCGGAGAUAUCAGGAGGAACACCGGUGGCGAAGGCGGCUUUCUGGCCCAAUACUGACGCUGAGACGCGAAAGCGUGGGGAGCAAACA